This 591-nucleotide ribosomal RNA is filed under the name uncultured bacterium. Its description in RNAcentral is "partial 16S ribosomal RNA". It matches the Rfam family "Bacterial small subunit ribosomal RNA", at positions 355 to 1375 of the family's 1533-position model. The record is from RNAcentral.
UGGGGAAUAUUGCACAAUGGGCGCAAGCCUGAUGCAGCCAUGCCGCGUGUGUGAAGAAGGCCUUCGGGUUGUAAAGCACUUUCAGCGAGGAGGAAGGUGGUGAACUUAAUACGUUCAUCAAUUGACGUUACUCGCAGAAGAAGCACCGGCUAACUCCGUGCCAGCAGCCGCGGUAAUACGGAGGGUGCAAGCGUUAAUCGGAAUUACUGGGCGUAAAGCGCACGCAGGCGGUUUGUUAAGUCAGAUGUGAAAUCCCCGGGCUCAACCUGGGAACUGCAUUUGAAACUGGCAAGCUAGAGUCUCGUAGAGGGGGGUAGAAUUCCAGGUGUAGCGGUGAAAUGCGUAGAGAUCUGGAGGAAUACCGGUGGCGAAGGCGGCCCCCUGGACGAAGACUGACGCUCAGGUGCGAAAGCGUGGGGAGCAAACAGGGUUAGAUACCCUGGUAGUCCAGCGCUGUAAAACGAUGUCGAUUUUGGAGGUUGUGCCCUUGAGGCGUGGCUUCCGGAGCUAACGCGUUAAAGUCGACCGCCUGGGGAGUACGGCCGCAAGGUUAAAACGUCAAAUGAAUUGACGGGGUCAUAGCUGUUUCCU